UUUGACCAAUGGUUCAUUAAUGCUUAUACACCAAGAGGUCUGAGUUUCAAUUCCCGGAGAUGACGUAAUUAUGCGAAUUAAAGGAGAAAAGGCUUACAAGAGAUCUGUAGCAUGGCGCAAGGAGUACCGUCAAGCAAGGAUCCCAUAGGGUGGCUCAGGUGAUGCAGUCAGGCGUGAAUCUUCAUACGGCAUGUAGAAUUGUCGGCUGUAGAAUCGUCUGUAAUAUUUCUCAUAGUUGUAAUAAAAAAACCAUUAUUGGGCCUCAGGUACAAAUAACAAAGCAUAUUCUCC
This 291-nucleotide long non-coding RNA is filed under the name Brassica rapa (field mustard). RNAcentral's name for it is "long non-coding RNA (BRAP_LNC003102)". Lineage: Eukaryota; Viridiplantae; Streptophyta; Magnoliopsida; Brassicales; Brassicaceae. The record is from RNAcentral.